UGCGGGGUGGUGUAAUUGGCAACACGCCUGACUCUGGAUCAGGAGAUCGGGGUUCGAGUCCCUGCCCCGCAG
RNAcentral lists this transfer RNA (72 nucleotides) under Candidatus Kryptobacter tengchongensis. Its description in RNAcentral is "tRNA_Undet_???". It matches the Rfam family "tRNA". Rfam says of the family: Transfer RNA (tRNA) molecules are approximately 80 nucleotides in length. Their secondary structure includes four short double-helical elements and three loops (D, anti-codon, and T loops). RNAcentral also lists the same sequence under 3 other names. Lineage: Bacteria; Pseudomonadati; Candidatus Kryptoniota. The record is from RNAcentral.